RNAcentral lists this ribosomal RNA (746 nucleotides) under uncultured Enterobacteriaceae bacterium. Its description in RNAcentral is "bacterial SSU rRNA". It matches the Rfam family "Bacterial small subunit ribosomal RNA", at positions 28 to 763 of the family's 1533-position model. The record is from RNAcentral. Lineage: Bacteria; Pseudomonadati; Pseudomonadota; Gammaproteobacteria; Enterobacterales; Enterobacteriaceae.
AUUGAACGCUGGCGGCAGGCCUAACACAUGCAAGUCGAACGGUAACAGGAAACAGCUUGCUGUUUCGCUGACGAGUGGCGGACGGGUGAGUAAUGUCUGGGAAACUGCCCGAUGGAGGGGGAUAACUACUGGAAACGGUAGCUAAUACCGCAUAACGUCGCAAGACCAAAGAGGGGGACCUUCGGGCCUCUUGCCAUCGGAUGUGCCCAGAUGGGAUUAGCUAGUAGGUGGGGUAACGGCUCACCUAGGCGACGAUCCCUAGCUGGUCUGAGAGGAUGACCAGCCACACUGGAACUGAGACACGGUCCAGACUCCUACGGGAGGCAGCAGUGGGGAAUAUUGCACAAUGGGCGCAAGCCUGAUGCAGCCAUGCCGCGUGUAUGAAGAAGGCCUUCGGGUUGUAAAGUACUUUCAGCGGGGAGGAAGGGAGUAAAGUUAAUACCUUUGCUCAUUGACGUUACCCGCAGAAGAAGCACCGGCUAACUCCGUGCCAGCAGCCGCGGUAAUACGGAGGGUGCAAGCGUUAAUCGGAAUUACUGGGCGUAAAGCGCACGCAGGCGGUUUGUUAAGUCAGAUGUGAAAUCCCCGGGGCUCAACCUGGGAACUGCAUCUGAUACUGGCAAGCUUGAGUCUCGUAGAGGGGGGUAGAAUUCCAGGUGUACCGGUGAAAUGCGUAGAGAUCUGGGAGGAAUACCAGUGGGAAGGCCGGCCCUGGGACAAGACUGACUCUCAGGGGCGAAACAUGG